Molecule: long non-coding RNA, 1643 nt
Filed under: Lathyrus oleraceus (garden pea)
Lineage: Eukaryota; Viridiplantae; Streptophyta; Magnoliopsida; Fabales; Fabaceae
Description: Pisum sativum (pea) long non-coding RNA (PSAT_LNC038806)
Source: RNAcentral
AAGUCACAGAGAAGAAGACACGGGCAGAUUAUUUGAUUAUAUCAGUAGUGAAAGAUGUUUAUCAGCUUAAACAAAAUCAAAAUGUGUAAGUAAUCACUGCUUGUUCGUUAGCCUUUUAAAUUUUUCUGCAUGAUGGAACAUUCUUGAUAUAGAGUAUACACCAUAUCAGUGAACAACUAUACUACUAAUCUUCACAUGUAUAAGCAUCAAUUUUGUUCACCUGAGGAUGAUUUAUUUUGAUUUACCUUCCGUGUUUGUUCAUCUUUAGCCCAAUUUCUUGCCACAAAUAAAAAAUCAGCAAACCACAUUGAGCAACCUAGAACCUGCAUAGAUAAGUUAAGAUCAAAUUUUCAUCUCACAACCUAUUUACCAAAAAGUUUGUCUUUUAAGUGCUUAUGUAUAAAAAGUUACAUAAAGGUAUUAGAUUUCAUUCUUCGUAAUGGCAACAGUGCUACUAAGACUGUGCUGUCACACAUUGUUUUUGUACUAAUAAAGUUUAACCUGGAAUUUUAAGAAGUCUCAAUAUGCAUUGUAGCAUUAUUAGCAACACGCCACAUGACAUAACAAAUGUCAUAUGGACAAACCUGCUAUAAAGUUCCUGGACAGAAAUGAUGAAAUUGAACAUAAUAGUUACUAAAUAUUUAAAAUUUUAAUCCAAGAGUAAAGUUUUGUAAAAGAUGUAUUCAAUAAAAACUUGUUGAGCAACGCAACACAACCUAUGUGUAAAAUAUUAUAAGUGGAUUUUUUUUUUAAAUUGUAAAGUGAAAAAGGAAAAAGGUUAGGAGGUUAGGAAGUCAUAGUUAACCACACAUACUAAAUGUCAUUCUAAGUUUGAUCCUACUCAUCAUGACACAAGAAUAGUAACAGAUGGAUGGAUUCAAAAUAACAUUGGGGAAAUAAAACAACAUACCUAACAGAAUCAAUUGAAAUGAAUAAAAAGUUGUUAGUUACUAUCUAAAUGACAUCAAGAAUGCGAUUUUCCUCUUUCUUUCAGCAUACAUGGCUUCUUGAGUGUUGUUGAUGAGACGAAACAGUUCUAAUCGCAUCUCACCAAGCUAUAUAAUUUCAUCCAUUAACCGUAAGCGUCUUUUCUGCAGUGGCGAGGAAGUAUGAUGAGGUGACGAUAGUGUGAUCAUGUAAAAACUCUAUCUUUCGUUUCUUAUUAGGUUUUGGUGCCGCUGGGGUUGACGUAAAUGAAAUCCGAGAACAUGGUGAUGAAUGUGGUGACUCCAUCAGAAGAGAACACAGUUGUUGUUGUUAUUAUUGUCGUUUGUUUAGAAUAGAACACAGAAAAAUUGAGAAAAAGAAUAUUAGAGAGAAAUGAGAGGUCGAAACAAAGUUGUUGUUAUUGUCGUUUGUUUAGAAUAGAACACAGAAAAAUUGAGAAAAAAAAUAUUAGAGAGAAAUGAGAGGUCGAAACAAAGUUGUUGUUAUUGUCGUUUGUUUAGAAUAGAACACAGAAAAAUUGAGAAGACAGAAAGAUUGAGAAACAAGAUUAUUAGAAAGGAUUGAAACAACGAUGACUGUUUGUUGUAUUUGUAAUGUUUGGUAGCUACUCAAUCAUUCACAACGUUGACUGUUUGUUGUAUUUGUAAUGUUUGGUAGCUUCUCAAUCAUUCACAACGUUGACUGUUUGUUGUAUU